RNAcentral lists this ribosomal RNA (494 nucleotides) under uncultured bacterium. RNAcentral's name for it is "partial 16S ribosomal RNA". It matches the Rfam family "Bacterial small subunit ribosomal RNA", at positions 28 to 507 of the family's 1533-position model. The record is from RNAcentral.
GACGAACGCUGGCGGCGUGCUUAACACAUGCAAGUCGAACGGUGAAGCGCCUUCCUUUUUGGUGGGUGUGGAUGAGUGGCGAACGGGUGAGUAACACGUGAGUAACCUGCCCCCUUCUUCUGGAUAACCGCAUGAAAGUGUGGCUAAUACGGGAUAUUCUGGGUCUGUCGCAUGAUGGGUCUGGGAAAGAUAUUGUUUCGGUGGGGGAUGGGCUCGCGGCCUAUCAGCUUGUUGGUGGGGUGAUGGCCUACCAAGGCGGUGACGGGUAGCCGGCCUGAGAGGGUGGACGGUCACACUGGGACUGAGACACGGCCCAGACUCCUACGGGAGGCAGCAGUGGGGAAUAUUGCACAAUGGGCGCAAGCCUGAUGCAGCGCCGCCGCGUGAGGGGUGGAGGCCUUCGGGUUGUGAACCUCUUUCGCCAGUGAAGCAGGCCUGCCUCGUUUGUGGGUGGGUUGACGGUAGCUGGAUAAGAAGCGCCGGCUAACUACGUG